Molecule: unclassified non-coding RNA, 253 nt
Filed under: plant metagenome
Description: partial contains small subunit ribosomal RNA, internal transcribed spacer 1, and 5.8S ribosomal RNA
Source: RNAcentral
UUUCCGUAGGUGAACCUGCGGAAGGAUCAUUACUGAGUUUUGAGUGAAGUUGUUCCGGUCUUUCGGGGCAAGUGAACGCUUCUCUCAAUCCAUCUUACACCUGUGCACCUAUCGGGGAAGACUUGGAUCUAAGUUGGGUCACGACGGCGAUCUACAGUCUCCUCUUUAUACCAAAUAACAGUUUUAGAAAGUCUUUUUUGCUUGAUGCAAACUUAAAUAAAUACAACUUUCAGCAACGGAUCUCUUGGCUCUC